Molecule: transfer RNA, 73 nt
Filed under: Bos taurus (domestic cattle)
Lineage: Eukaryota; Metazoa; Chordata; Mammalia; Artiodactyla; Bovidae
Also listed under: 2 other names
Rfam family: tRNA
About the family: Transfer RNA (tRNA) molecules are approximately 80 nucleotides in length. Their secondary structure includes four short double-helical elements and three loops (D, anti-codon, and T loops). Further hydrogen bonds mediate the characteristic L-shaped molecular structure. tRNAs have two regions of fundamental functional importance: the anti-codon, which is responsible for specific mRNA codon recognition, and the 3' end, to which the tRNAs corresponding amino acid is attached (by aminoacyl-tRNA synthetases). tRNAs cope with the degeneracy of the genetic code in two manners: having more than one tRNA (with a specific anti-codon) for a particular amino acid; and 'wobble' base-pairing, i.e. permitting non-standard base-pairing at the 3rd anti-codon position.
Source: Rfam by way of RNAcentral
UUCCUGGUGGCCCAGUGGCUAAGACUCUGCAUUCCCAAUGCAGGGGGCCUGGGUUCAAUCCCUGGCCAAGGAA